UGUUUCCGAUGGAUCCCCGCGCCCCUCCGCUAAUUCCCUAACCAAAGGAAAAGGGAAGAGCGCCGGGGAGGUCUCGGUCAGUGUUCGGAGGGAACUGGCUUCGAGGGGUCCCUGAGAACGCCAAGACCCCGCGAAAUAGGGUGUACCUACUCCCAGCAGCCGUCUCUUUCGAGGCACACGGAUAAAUUGGCUGGACCUCCCUGCCGACCCGGCGGGCGGGGCUGCAGCAGCGCAGAGCCGCCUCCAGAGCGGCCGCAGCAGCGCGAGCAGGACGCGAACCCAGGUGCGGCCGUGCGGCUCCGCGGUGAGCAGGUGAGCCCGCGGUGAGCCGGUGAGCCCGCGCCCGGGUCUGAGAGUGAUCCAGCUCUGUUUUGGAAAAUUGAAGAACCAUCAACGUUUUGCUGAAAAUGUUGACAAGGUUAAGAGCAAAGACAGGCCCCUGGAGCUCUAAUCGAAAGCCCCACUAACAGCACUGAAGCCACUGACCAGCAGAGCACAGGGACAUGGCUUCCCCGGAGGCACGUCCAGCCCUCAGCCCUCACGUGCCCCUCGGCAUUCAUCAUUUCAUUCCAUACAGACCUCACCGUCAUCAAAGACUGCGUAUUCCCCUGGCCGGCGGACUCUGUAAUGCCAGUGUGAUGAGAGAGAGGUCCAUGUGACACUGUCAUUCUGCUACUUCUGCAAAUGUUGCUCUUGCUUACUUUUAUUUUAAAGAUAUUCUCUUUUUUUAAUUUUUAAAAGAUUUUUUUUCAAAGUAACCUCUACAUCUAAUGUGGGGCUCAAACAGAACUCUGAGAUCAAGAGUCACAUGCUCUACCGACUGAGCCAGCCAGGCGCCCCUAUUUUAAAGAUAUUCUCAUUUUUCUUACACAAAUGCAAGAGGCAGGACUGCUGGGCCCUAGGUUUCCACAGUGGCUGCACCAAAUGAACGUUGCCAGCAGCAGAGCACAAGAGCUCCCUUCUCUCCACAUCCUCGCCGGCACCGGUUGUCUCUUGUCUUUUUGAUGACAGCUGCUCUCACAGUUUCUAAGAAGCAAAUAUUUCUACUGCUCCAGAUAGAAAGAAACAAAGUUACGCAGCCAUGGGAAUCCACUUUGGAAAACAAAUGAAUCCAGGAGACUCCCCCGUGAUGACAUAGCCCUCGGUGGGAAAUCAGGUGAUGAAGUGGAGUGCCAGCAGAAACAAUGUGGCUUUCAUGAAAUAAGGGAACUGGAACCUUCUUAAUUCCAAUAUCAGCCUCUGGUCCACAUAUUUCCAUCGUUUCGCAAGGAGGGCAUUUAUUGGACAUUUUAUUUUAAAAUAAUGUCUACAUCCCACUUGGGGCUUGAACUCACAAUUCCAAGAUCAAGAGUCACGUGCUCUACUGACUGAGCCAGCCAGGUGCUCCAGGCUAUCUUUCUUUAACCUCACAAAAGUGCCUCCGUUUAUCCAGACCCACCCUAGACCUCAAGCCAGGAAGAUGUGAAGAGGAGUCCAUCCUCAAAGCCUGCAGACACAGAAAACAAGGUGUUAGGAUGCUCUGAAAAUGGCAUAAACCUUAUCAAGGAGAUUAAGCAGGGAGGUAAG
Ailuropoda melanoleuca (giant panda) is the source of this 1566-nucleotide long non-coding RNA. RefSeq lists it as uncharacterized. The transcript has 4 exons. The record is from RefSeq and is a predicted model, not a curated record. NCBI's taxonomy places the organism in Eukaryota, Metazoa, Chordata, Mammalia, Carnivora, Ursidae.